RNAcentral lists this small nuclear RNA (106 nucleotides) under Sciurus vulgaris (Eurasian red squirrel). The record is from RNAcentral. Lineage: Eukaryota; Metazoa; Chordata; Mammalia; Rodentia; Sciuridae.
GUGCUCACUUUGGCAGCACAUAUACUAAAAUUAGAACGAUACAGAGAAGAUUAGCAUGGCCCCUGUGCAAGGAUGGAAAAAAAUAAAAAAGAUUUUAAUAAUAAUU